GUGGUGCAGGAUCUGGCCCUGGCGAGGGGCUUGUUGCCGGCUUCAGCUGCUCUCUAAUUGGGAUCACCCUGAUGGGUUGCAGAAAUGAUGCUCCCAAUAGGCCGGAACGAGCUUCCCUAAGAAAAGCUGGAAUCACGUCUCUCAGCAUGGUAGUCUGGCUGAUGCGAAAUAAAAGCCUAAUUUGGAAAACCUGAGCUCUACGAUUUCUCUGGCAGUGAGCACUGCACUUACUCUUUUAUAAAAGCCUUGGCUGGGAAAAGCAUUUUGGAUCCAACUUCCCCCAAGUGUGUGUGAUCGCUACUGGAUGGUACCACAAGCACUUUGCCAGUUGCAAGAUCCAGGCCACACCAUACGAGAGCCUCAACAAUCUGAUCUCAUUUAGACACGAGACAGUUUGGAGAGGAAUAUGCUGUCACUUGGUUUUGUGCAGAGGUAACGGGCUGUCUUCUUCCAGCAGCUUCCACAAACACUAGGAACGAGUGCUGGGAGGUUUUUCCAUGGGCUGUGGGCAACUCCCAUGCAAUGCAAGUUGCAGAUAUGCUGAUGUGUCCCAGGCUCG
Molecule: long non-coding RNA, 559 nt
Organism: Oxyura jamaicensis (ruddy duck)
Lineage: Eukaryota; Metazoa; Chordata; Aves; Anseriformes; Anatidae
Exons: 3
Source: RefSeq, a predicted model, not a curated record